GACGAACGCUGGCGGCGUGCUUAACACAUGCAAGUGGAGCGACGAACCAGGGCUUGCCCUGGGGCAAAGCCGCGAACGGGUGAGUAACACGUGGGUAACCUGCCCCGAAGACCGGGACAACCCGAGGAAACUCGGGCUAAUACCGGAUGUGGUCACUCUUCAUAAGGAGAGUGAGCAAAGGAAGCUUCGGCCUCCGCUUCGGGAUGGGCCCGCGGCCCAUUAGCUUGUUGGUGAGGUAACGGCUCACCAAGGCUUCGAUGGGUAGCUGGUCUGAGAGGACGAUCAGCCACACUGGGACUGAGACACGGCCCAGACUCCUACGGGAGGCAGCAGUGGGGAAUCUUGCGCAAUGGGCGACAGCCUGACGCAGCAACGCCGCGUGAGGGAAGAAGGCUUUCGGGUCGUAAACCUCUUUCAGGAGGGACGAAGCUUCGGGAGUGAAUAGCUUUCCGGAGUGACGGUACUUCCACAAGAAGCCCCGGCUAACUACGUGCCAGCAGCCGCCGUAA
RNAcentral lists this ribosomal RNA (509 nucleotides) under uncultured bacterium. RNAcentral describes it as "partial 16S ribosomal RNA". It matches the Rfam family "Bacterial small subunit ribosomal RNA", at positions 28 to 523 of the family's 1533-position model. The record is from RNAcentral.